RNAcentral lists this ribosomal RNA (423 nucleotides) under uncultured bacterium. Its description in RNAcentral is "bacterial SSU rRNA". It matches the Rfam family "Bacterial small subunit ribosomal RNA", at positions 207 to 622 of the family's 1533-position model. The record is from RNAcentral.
CAAGACCUGCACUUUUGGAGCGGCCGAUGUCUGAUUAGCUAGUUGGUGGGGUAAUGGCCUACCAAAGCGUCGAUCAGUAGCUGGUCUGAGAGGACGGCCAGCCACACUGGGACUGAGACACGGCCCAGACUCCUACGGGAGGCAGCAGUGGGGAAUUUUGGACAAUGGGCGCAAGCCUGAUCCAGCCAUGCCGCGUGAGUGAAGAAGGCCUUCGGGUUGUAAAGCUCUUUCAGCCGGGAAGAAAAGGUUGCGAUUAAUAAUCGCAAUUUAUGACGGUACCGGAAGAAGAAGCACCGGCUAACUACGUGCCAGCAGCCGCGGUAAUACGUAGGGUGCGAGCGUUAAUCGGAAUUACUGGGCGUAAAGGGUGCGCAGGCGGUUUUGUAAGUCAGAUGUGAAAUCCCCGGGCUUAACCUGGGAACU